RNAcentral lists this non-coding RNA (101 nucleotides) under Eutreptiella gymnastica. The record is from RNAcentral. Lineage: Eukaryota; Euglenozoa; Euglenophyceae; Eutreptiales; Eutreptiaceae.
GCACAAGUGGUAGUACCCAGGCAAGAUGAAUCGAAUGGCCACGUACGCAAAGGUCGUGCACGAGCACGACCCUCUGCUGGAGCAGGCACCUCCACCACGGC